UGCCCAUAGAUUUGCAGGAUCGUCGUUCUGUUAAUCCGCAGGUCCCUGGUUCGAGUCCGGGUCGGGGAGCCA
RNAcentral lists this transfer RNA (72 nucleotides) under Duganella sp. Root336D2. Its description in RNAcentral is "tRNA-Asn". Lineage: Bacteria; Pseudomonadati; Pseudomonadota; Betaproteobacteria; Burkholderiales; Oxalobacteraceae. The record is from RNAcentral.